GGACGAGUGUGAGAACCAUGAGUUACUUAGAGGCGUGUGGCCAAGAGGCGACCUUCCGGAUUUGACACAAAACUCUGCCCUCUCCAGUGAGGUGACAGUUCACUCACCUGUGUGCGCCUUUGUUCCCUCAUCCGGGUCUUGAUGAGGAUCAGAAUGAGGAAUGUUUAUAAGGGCACACAAUGAAUGUAGAUAAGUUCUUAUGAAAAAGAAUUUGAGUUUUAUGUGCCUACAAUAUGCUACAAUUCUCAGUGUAAAGUGGGACAGAGAACGCUUUCCGUUCCUUCUUGGAAAGUUCUAGUCCAAGUACCACGUGGUGUCACAACAGAAGUCUUCAGUCAACAGCUUGGAGGGAACCGCAGGUCUGCACCAUCUCCAUCUCCACGGUUCUGAUGGGAACCCUGAUUAUCAAGUCACAGAGCCAGUGAGUAAGUGAGCCAGGAUCUGCACCGUCUCCUGUGCGUUUACUGCUUCAUUCUGUUGCUACAGACUGCAGUCCUGACGCAGGGGCAGCCCCGUGCUGGGGCUGAGAAGGCGGUUCUGGACAGGACGACAGCAGCGCCUGUCCUCGCGGAGUUUGCCCUGGGGGUGAUGGUAGAUAAAAGUCAAGAACAAAGACAGAUCCAGCGGUUUCCCAAGUUACAAC
Molecule: long non-coding RNA, 643 nt
Filed under: Equus caballus (horse)
Lineage: Eukaryota; Metazoa; Chordata; Mammalia; Perissodactyla; Equidae
Description: lncRNA (ENSECAG00000059161.1)
Source: RNAcentral